Molecule: small nucleolar RNA, 81 nt
Organism: Hippocampus comes (tiger tail seahorse)
Lineage: Eukaryota; Metazoa; Chordata; Actinopteri; Syngnathiformes; Syngnathidae
Gene: SNORD79
Rfam family: Small nucleolar RNA SNORD79
About the family: snoRNA U79 or Z22 is found in intron 7 of the gas5 gene in humans and is also present in mice. U79 is a member of the C/D class of snoRNA which contain C (UGAUGA) and D (CUGA) box motifs.
Source: Ensembl
AGCUGUAGAUGAUGACUUUGAAACACAUAAUGGGAAUCUCUCUGAAAAAUAGUGAAAGAUGACAUUUUGUCUGAUGCGGUG